This 492-nucleotide ribosomal RNA is filed under the name uncultured bacterium. Its description in RNAcentral is "partial 16S ribosomal RNA". It matches the Rfam family "Bacterial small subunit ribosomal RNA", at positions 29 to 507 of the family's 1533-position model. The record is from RNAcentral.
AGUGAACGCUGGCGGUAGGCCUGACACAUGCAAGUCGAACGGCAGCACAGUAAGAGCUUGCUCUUACGGGUGGCGAGUGGCGGACGGGUGAGGAAUACAUCGGAAUCUACUUUUUCGUGGGGGAUAACGUAGGGAAACUUACGCUAAUACCGCAUACGACCUACGGGUGAAAGCAGGGGAUCUUCGGACCUUGCGCGAUUGAAUGAGCCGAUGUCGGAUUAGCUAGUUGGCGGGGUAAAGGCCCACCAAGGCGACGAUCCGUAGCUGGUCUGAGAGGAUGAUGAGCCAAACUGGAACUGAGACACGGUCCAGACUCCUAGGGGAGGCAGCAGUGGUGAAUAUUGGACAAGGGGCGCAUGCCUGAUCCAGCCAUACCGCGUGGGUGAAGAAGGCCUUCGGGUUGUAAAGCCCUUUUGUUGGGAAAGAAAAGCAGCAGGUUAAUACCCGGCUGUUCUGACGGUACCCAAAGAAUAAGCACCGGCCAACUUCGUG